CUUUGCAAUUUUCAUCCUUGAGCACUGAUUUCCACAUUUUUCGUCAUUUUUUCGCAUUCACUUCUUAUCUAUAAGUAUAAUUAUUCACACAAGCAAUAUUAAUGGAAACAGCUGAGACGAGUUUUGCACAUCCUAUGUCCCCGACUGUAAUCUAAUGCGAAUAUGAUUCUCAAAAUGUUCCUAUUGCAGUUUAUUUCACGUCAUAAUUAUCUUGUCCUCCGUUCUUUAAGACAUAAAUUUCAGAAUCGCAAAGAUUAUUAAAAAUGUUGACACAUUUAUAAUAUAUUCGCGGCUAUGAAUUAUGAUAAUUCUUCAUCGAACAUACGUAAUAACCUUUUAGCAUUUAAUCCCAUGAUAGCUAAAUCAGUCAAAAAUUCGAGGAGAUUUUAUUUGUAUUCUAAAUUUAAUUUCAGCAGCAAAAUUUUAUAUUGUUUUUGCUGUUCGUAUCACAAUCAGUUCAAUAAGGAAGACAUCUGAACAAAUGGAAUUGGAAUUGUUUAAACAAUGUGGGAUAAAAUCAGUCAAAAAUGCAGGAAACGUUUCUUCAUAAUUUAAUUAAUUUAGAUUAUUGAAUCAAAUAUAAAUAAAUAUUUUUUAUGAAGAGAUACCACAAGCCAUUGAAUUAAUUCAUAUCCAUCUGCAACUUCAAUGUCACGAUAAAUUAUAAUUUUUUUCCAUCAAAAAUAUUGUUUUAAAAUACUAAGAUGAAACAAAUCAACACACUGCAUAGUUUUCCCACGUACGUGUGUCGAUCUAAAUAUUCAAAUGGAAAUUAUAUUUUUAAAAUAAAUAAACAAAUUAAAUUGUGGUGGUAGGGUAUGUAAAUCAAUUUUAUUUUUAACAAUAAGAUUUUAUACACUUAUAGAGUGUGCUGUACAACGUACAAUAAUGUAAAAUGUAUUAAAAAGUAAAAUGUACUUUAUUAGGAAUAUAUUAUACAAAGUUAAUUGAUCUCAGAACUCGAUUCAAGGACUUGUAUGUUACCAUUUUGGCAGCACAUUUUAUUCUUUAAUUUCAUGCACAGCAUCCGGUAUAUGUUUGCGCUGUUGGUACCGUACACACCGUGCUCGGCGCAAUCGAAUAUAACCAACAGUUAGUUAGUUGGUGGUGUACUUGCGAUCACUGUUUCUGCAUAUAAACACCAGGCAUCAUUGUGUAUAUUAGGCACAAUGAAGAUUAAGUGUCCAUAUGCUUUAGGAUAUAUAGGCGAAAAAAAGGGAACAUCAGACAAUGCAACAAUAAAAGUUAAAUGCUAGGCAGGAUAUUUAUGGUCAUUUAAUAUCAGUAGGUAUGUAUUGUGCGACAACUAUUUAAUACCUUUUUAUGUGAAACAAAUCUCCAUUUAAACAAAUAAUGAGAAGAUUCUUGCUUUACAUUUUGUGAAUUGGAAUCAAUAGCUGCGCUUUCAAUUGUGAAUCAUCAAAACAUUUUAAAUCGAAACGUUACAUAAAAUAAAUAAAUUUAUUGAAAGUUAAA
Bradysia coprophila is the source of this 1476-nucleotide long non-coding RNA. Lineage: Eukaryota; Metazoa; Arthropoda; Insecta; Diptera; Sciaridae. The record is from RefSeq and is a predicted model, not a curated record.